GUAUGUCUGUCAGUGUGUGUGUGAGUAUGUGUGUCUGUCAGUGUGUGUGUGAGUAUGUGUGUCUGUCAGUGUGUGUGUGUGCAUGUGAGUAUGUCUGUCAGUGUGUGUGUGAGUAUGUGUGUCUGUCAGUGUGUGUGUGUGCAUGUGAGUAUGUCUGUCAGUGUGUGUGUGAGUAUGUGUGUCUGUCAGUGUGUGUGUGCAUGUGAGUAUGUGUGUGUGAGUGUGUGUGUCUGUGUGGUUCUGUCAG
Molecule: non-coding RNA, 247 nt
Organism: Pelobates cultripes (western spadefoot toad)
Lineage: Eukaryota; Metazoa; Chordata; Amphibia; Anura; Pelobatidae
Source: the annotation of a GenBank genome assembly